UUCGGUUACGAUCGGUGACAGGUGGUGCAUGGUUGUCGUCAGCUCGUGUCGUGAGAUGUUGGUUAAGUCCGCAACGAGCGCAACCCCUAUUGUUAGUUGCCAUCAUUCAGUUUGGGCACUCUAGCGAGACUGCCGGUAAUAAACCGGAGGAAGGUGGGGAUGACGUCAAAUCAUCAUGCCCCUUAUGACCUGGGCUACACACGUGCUACAAUGGUUGGUACAACGAGUUGCGAGUCGGUGACGGCGAGCUAAUCUCUUAAAGCCAAUCUCAGUUCGGAUUGUAGGCUGCAACUCGCCUACAUGAAGUCGGAAUCGCUAGUAAUCGCGGAUCAGCACGCCGCGGUGAAUACGUUCCCGGGCCUU
RNAcentral lists this ribosomal RNA (363 nucleotides) under uncultured Streptococcus sp. RNAcentral's name for it is "bacterial SSU rRNA". It matches the Rfam family "Bacterial small subunit ribosomal RNA", at positions 1014 to 1382 of the family's 1533-position model. Lineage: Bacteria; Bacillati; Bacillota; Bacilli; Lactobacillales; Streptococcaceae. The record is from RNAcentral.